RNAcentral lists this ribosomal RNA (253 nucleotides) under uncultured bacterium. Its description in RNAcentral is "partial 16S ribosomal RNA". It matches the Rfam family "Bacterial small subunit ribosomal RNA", at positions 524 to 776 of the family's 1533-position model. The record is from RNAcentral.
UACGAAGGGUGCAAACGUUGCUCGGAAUUAUUGGGCGUAAAGCGCACGUAGGCGGCAUUGCAAGUCGGAUGUGAAAUCCCUCGGCUUAACCAAGGAAGUGCAUCCGAAACUGCAGUGCUUGAGUACUUAAGAGGAUCGCGGAAUUCCCGGUGUAGCGGUGAAAUGCGCAGAUAUCGGGAAGAACACCCGUGGCGAAGGCGGCUCUCUGGGACGGUACUGACGCUGAGACGCGAAAGCGUGGGGAGCGAACAGG